Molecule: ribosomal RNA, 253 nt
Filed under: uncultured bacterium
Lineage: Bacteria
Description: partial 16S ribosomal RNA
Rfam family: Bacterial small subunit ribosomal RNA
Source: RNAcentral
UACGGAGGAUGCAAGCGUUAUCCGGAAUGAUUGGGCGUAAAGCGUCCGUAGGUGGCUAUUCAAGUCUGCUGUUAAAGCGCAGGGCUUAACCCUGUAAAGGCGGUGGAAACUGGAGAGCUAGAGUGUGGUAGGGGUAGAGGGAAUUCCCGGUGUAGCGGUGAAAUGCGUAGAGAUCGGGAAGAACACCAGUGGCGAAAGCGCUCUACUGGGCCACAACUGACACUGAUGGACGAAAGCUAGGGGAGCGAAUGGG